GCAAACUUGGUCAUUUAGAGGAAGUAAAAGUCGUAACAAGGUUUCCGUAGGUGAGUAAACGAUAAUAAAUUCCUCCCUCGUUGAAUUCUUGAUAACUAACCCGUUUUUUAGGUGAACCUGCGGAAGGAUCAUUAAAGAGUUAGGGUCUAUACGGCCUGACCUCCCAACCCUUUGUGUAUUGAACCUGUGUUGCUUCGGCGGGCCCGUCGUGAGAACGACCGCCGGAGGACCGCUGAGAGGCGUCCUCUGGCCCGCGUCCGUCGGUGGCCUACACCUUAAAAAAUUCUGAAUGAACCAUGUUAUAUGCCUAAGUUCUUUGAUAAAUAAAGCAAAAACUUUCAACAACGGAUCUCUUGGUUCUGGCAUCGAUGAAGAACGCAGC
RNAcentral lists this unclassified non-coding RNA (382 nucleotides) under uncultured fungus. RNAcentral's name for it is "partial contains small subunit ribosomal RNA, internal transcribed spacer 1, and 5.8S ribosomal RNA". The stretch from base 1 to 134 matches the Rfam family "Eukaryotic small subunit ribosomal RNA", at positions 1759 to 1831 of the family's 1831-position model. The record is from RNAcentral. Lineage: Eukaryota; Fungi.